UCUGAUGGGAUAUCACCCUAAGCCCUGAUG
RNAcentral lists this non-coding RNA (30 nucleotides) under Mus musculus (house mouse). The record is from RNAcentral. Lineage: Eukaryota; Metazoa; Chordata; Mammalia; Rodentia; Muridae.